Molecule: ribosomal RNA, 71 nt
Filed under: Astathelohania montirivulorum
Lineage: Eukaryota; Fungi; Microsporidia; Astathelohaniidae
Description: Thelohania montirivulorum partial small subunit ribosomal RNA
Source: RNAcentral
AUUAGGGUGAAAUAUUAUAAUAAUAGAGAACUCUAAUAACUAAAUAAGGUACAAGUCGUAACAAGGUUGAC